AAUCCUGAACGCCCGGUUUUAUAUAACUCAUACUGCUAAUUCAUCAAAUGUGAAAUAAGCUAUUGAAAAUGGAGAUUCAGAAUUGACACAAGUUCUUGGUUUCAUAGAUUUUUCAUUAUUGUUAAAUAUAUAUCUUAUAUAAUAUUUUUUGUAUUUUUAUUAUUUGACUUUUGUUUAUACUUAUUUUUUUAAUGACUAAUUAUUGUUUAAACUUAUGUUAAUGAAUUUUAAAUUACUAAUCAAUUAUAUUUUUAAAUAUUUGUAGGCAACUAAAAGCUAUUUCCAAAUCAGACGUGGUGAAGCAAGGCCAUCUCUACAUAUUGCACACCAAAAAUCAGUAUGAGUUAUAUACAUUGCUUGUAUUCAAUGGCCAAUGUUAUCCCCACUCAGACAUUUCGACAAGCCAAUCCAGUUUUAAAUGAUCAACAAAUACAUGAAGAACAUAUGUUGCCCUUUCCUACGGAUCUUAACCAAGCAACAACAAUGGAUGCAAUGCAAACUAGAGAUGGUAUUGAUGAUACUAUAAUGGAGGAUCGUGGUCAAUAUUUUCCUGGAUAACCAUUAUGGUGUAUGAUACUUUAUUGUAAUGGAUUAUUUAUUGAGUGUGUAAACUCUAUUUAGAAAUUGGAUCUUGGAUGGAGUGGCUUGUUUUUUCAAGAUAUAGACAUUAUUUGCAUACUAUAUUUUUGAGUUGGACUACUAUUGUGUAUGUGAGAAAUUGGCUAAAUCCAUUAUGAAUUUUAUUCAUUUUAUGCCAUUAGC
Long non-coding RNA from Cryptomeria japonica (Japanese cedar), 762 nucleotides. RefSeq lists it as uncharacterized. Lineage: Eukaryota; Viridiplantae; Streptophyta; Pinopsida; Cupressales; Cupressaceae. The record is from RefSeq and is a predicted model, not a curated record. The transcript is spliced from 4 exons.